RNAcentral lists this small RNA (41 nucleotides) under Plasmodium falciparum 3D7. RNAcentral's name for it is "Pfa-starR6464". Lineage: Eukaryota; Apicomplexa; Aconoidasida; Haemosporida; Plasmodiidae. The record is from RNAcentral.
UUAGGAUGAAAGUCCAUGUUUCGUAAUUGAAGUUGGACGUG